RNAcentral lists this ribosomal RNA (433 nucleotides) under uncultured bacterium. RNAcentral's name for it is "partial 16S ribosomal RNA". It matches the Rfam family "Bacterial small subunit ribosomal RNA", at positions 29 to 507 of the family's 1533-position model. The record is from RNAcentral.
AACGAACGCUGGCGGCAUGCCUAACACAUGCAAGUCGAACGAGACCUUCGGGUCUAGUGGCGCACGGGUGCGUAACGCGUGGGAACCUGCCCUUAGGUUCGGAAUAACUCCCCGAAAGGGGUGCUAAUACCGGAUAAUGUCUUCGGACCAAAGAUUUAUCGCCUUUGGAUGGGCCCGCGUUGGUUUAGCUAGUUGGUAGGGUAAAAGCCUACCAAGGCGACGAUCCAUAGCUGGUCUGAGAGGAUGAUCAGCCACACUGGGACUGAGACACGGCCCAGACUCCUACGGGAGGAAGCAGUGGGGAAUAUUGGAAAAUGGGCGAAAGCAUGAUCCAGCAAUGCCGGGUGAGUGAUGAAGGCCUUAGGGUUGUAAAGCUCUUUUACCCGGGAUGAUAAUGACAGUACCGGGAGAAUAAGCUCCGGCUAACUCCGUG